RNAcentral lists this non-coding RNA (1657 nucleotides) under Arabidopsis thaliana (thale cress). The record is from RNAcentral. Lineage: Eukaryota; Viridiplantae; Streptophyta; Magnoliopsida; Brassicales; Brassicaceae.
CUGUUGAUCUUGAAGCUUUCAAAACCAUAAAUGUCGAGGACUCCGAUCAAGCUUUUAGCAUCCGGGUCUUGACCUAUUGAACUGUUGAUCUUAUCUACAAUCCUGUCAUUAUUGAUUAGUGCACAUGUCACGGUGGGAGAUUGCUCAAACUGAGAACUAUUUAUUUAGAGUCCUGAAGGAAAACCAUGUUAAAGGGGUUGGAUUUACAUACCAGUCAAACAGCCUGGAGUACACUGUCUUGGCUAAAGCAUCACGGUUUGAGGCUGCCGAUUCUGGAUCAAGCGGCUUUGUAAUGUUACCAUCCGGAGUGACAAUAACACGCUUGCAGAGUGAAUCUUCCAUCAUCUUCUCAUUGCACCUACGUCAAGUGAAAGAUUGAAAAUUAGUCAGCAUUUCCAUUGGAAAAUGCAGAAUUUCGAGGUCUAGUGGUGGAGGAUCGCAGCUACAACUCGGAAUAUGGCAUCCUAAAGUUGAAGUUUCUCUGCAUUGUUACUGAAGACUUACCUCAGGCGGUGCUGCACAGAGCAUGUAGAAGCAGUGAUAGUUCCUCUCUGGGUCUGAAACUUGGCAAACACGAGACCGUUCAAGAAGAUAAGUGCGGAUGGCAGCUCCAGAUAUUUUCCCACGCUUGUCAAAUUGGAUCUCAACAAAUUUUCCAAACCGACUGUCGGAAACACACAAUAUUACAAACGAGUCAAAACAAAAGAUGCCAACAGAAAAAGGAAAAAUAUGUCCACACUCCGCUCUCUCCACUAACCAAAAUGGACUGGCUUCUUGCCUCAUUAAUCAUCGCCCUAGUAUAAUGGAAGCUUUUGCAAACAGAUGCGGACUUAGCUCUCCAAACGCAGCUCCUUUAUAUUGCUCCAUCAUAUGGACACUAUACAAAUGCGGAAGUCUUUGGAAUGGAUUCACCGCAAUCAAGAUGUUUCCGGUGUAAGUCUGCGCUAUUCAAGAGUUUGCAAUUAGAUAAUCACAACUUCGACUUUCAAAAGUUUGAUAAAUGGAAUGUUUUAGAUAUCAAAAGUCUUAAAUUACUGACAUAUAUCUCGUUUAAUGCAAAACGGCAAUCGAGAUUGUGGAGUACCCCUGGCUCAUGGAGGUAAGCCAGUUUAGUCAUGUCGUCAACUCCUGCAGGCGGAGCCUCUGUAUCCUUUGGAUAGAUACUAGAAAUACUAGCAACAACCUGUAAUAAUAUAAUCUAUUCUCAAAAUUCUUCUAGAAAAAUCUGUGAAUCUUACUGCAAAGGUCCAUGUGACUAUUUUGGCAUUGGUGCCUUUGAUUUCAGUCACUUCUCCACUGAUCCAUGCGAGUUCUGGAUCCUCGACCCAGACAUGUGAUCCGAGUGUGAUAUUUACAGGAGUCCCCUAACAUUAUUUAUCAAAGAAAGCUUUUCAAUAGUCACAGUAAGAAGAAAAGAUAGUAUAUGCAACAGGAGGUUAAUGGGGAGGCUUACCAUAACUCAAGCUCUUCCAAGCUCUUACACUGAGAAUCUGCAGCAGUUGGAGAACAGAGAGAUAGAUCAAAAGAAAAGGUUUUAGAGCUUAAGAUGCAGUAAAGGCGGCGGCAAAUCAACUUCUUUCAGAUAUUCUCUCUUAGGUCAUUUGCUUUGAAAACCAUGCAUUCCAUAGAAAACUGUUUGGUGUAAGGUCACACUCUU